RNAcentral lists this unclassified non-coding RNA (4861 nucleotides) under Hevea brasiliensis (rubber tree). Lineage: Eukaryota; Viridiplantae; Streptophyta; Magnoliopsida; Malpighiales; Euphorbiaceae. The record is from RNAcentral.
UUUGCAAUUCCGAGAGACAUUUAAAACACAUGCCUGCAUAGCCUACUGGGAGCUGUGUAGGAGCCGGCUCCACUCUUUUAUACCCAAAAUGCCCCUCAUUCCAUCUCCUUUUCCUAUUUUUCACAGCCACAAUACGUGGACAUUUCUGUAAUUUAAUCAAGCCCAAUUUCCAUUGCCGAUCAAAACUCAGGGCGCCUCGUCCUCCAUGGCUUUGUACGAACCUUCGAUUUGGAGUUCCAACUUCUUUUCCUCAAGGAUAUCCGAUUCCAUUCCCCAAAUCACUCAAUCUCGACUUAUCGUUAACUAUUGAGCAUUUUUUUAACUAUUUAAGGUGCAUUGCCCUAAUGCCCUUUAUCAUCAAGCAAAGGCUCAAAUUGGGCUUUAUGUGCAGCGAUUCUAUAAUUUUGUCAUGCAUUGUUGUAUUUAUUGGGUUUGCAAUACAGAGGAUGUGAGGAAACCAAUGCAAUGGCAACAUCUAGUAAGUUUGAUUUGUCUUCUGACACCCCGGAUAGGCCGCUAUACUCCAGUGGGCAGCGUGCUGGAUCCCACUUAACUGCUCAGAUGGACAGAUCAGGUAGUUUUCGUGAGAACAUGGAGAACCCAAUCCUAUCUUCUCUCCCAAACAUGACAAGGAGCAGUUCUGUAGUAGCACAGGGAGACGUGAUGAAUUUCUUUCAGUGUUUGCGUUUUGAUCCAAAGUCGAUGGUUGCUGACCAUAAGUUUAAUCGACAAGGGGACUUUAAACGACACUUGAAUGUUGCUCUUGGCAUUUCUGUGGAUGAUUCUCCAUCUGGUCCUUUGAAAGUCAAAGUGCCUGCACCUGAGGAAAUCAAGCGGAUCAGGGCUUAUCUGCGUGAAAGCUCUGUGAAGGCCAGGGAACGAAUGAAGACUUUUAAUGAAGCCUUGUCUGUAUUCAACAAGUUUUUCCCCAGUAUUCCGUCAAAGAAGAGAUCAAGAUCAGAAGGCUUUUCUAGUGAUAGGCCUAAUGCCUUGUUAUCAAGUGAUCGAUCAGUUCUGGGGCCAAGCCUUGGUAAGAUGGGGAUUCAUAAUCAUGCUGUUACUGGUGGUGGUUUUGAACUUGAACAGCAGAAGUCAGAGGAGAGAACCAAAAAUGUUGUGCCAAACAAACGGACGCGAACUUCAUUGGUGGAUGUGAGGAGCAAUUCUCUUGUGAGGCCAUCUGGUACACUAGAUAGAGAAAGAGAAAUGCUGAGGCUUGCAAGUGGUGGUGCAAUUCAAGGUGAAGAUCGAAUUUUGUCAAUUGGUGUUGAUGGUUGGGAAAAGACAAAAAUGAAGAAGAAGCGCUCUGUGAUAAAGCCAGAUGUUUCUCCAAGUUUAGUGCCAACUAAACUCACUGAUGGCUAUCGGGAGCCCAAACAGGGACUGCAGCAAAGGCCUGUUACUGAGGCUCGAUCAAGGUUAAAUAGUGACUCCCAUGGGUUCAGGCCAGGAGUUGCAAAUGGUGCUGUGAGCAUUGGAAAAUCAGAUGGUAUCUCACAAUCAACAAGCUUGAGUACGCGGUCAUCCAUCCCUAGGGCCGAUCUUGACAACAGUUCUCUUCUCAAUGAAAGAAGAGAACGCCCUAUUGGUUCUGAUAAGGAAAGGGUGAAUAUUAGAGCUGUUAAUAAAGCAAAUGUUCGUGAUGAUUUUAAUUCAGCUAGUCCCACUUCAAGCACAAAAAUGAAUGCAUCUAUCCGAGCUCCACGAUCAGGUUCAGGCAUUGCCCCCAAGUUGUCACCAGUAGUCCAUAGGGCAACUGCUCCAAUUGAGUGGGAACUUUCUCAUUGCUCAAGCAAGCCACCUACUACUGUUGGAACUAGUAACCGUAAACGCACAGCAUCAGCUCGGUCUUCAUCUCCACCUGUUGCCCAUUGGGCAGGUCAGAGGCCACAGAAGAGUUCCCGUAGUGCUAGAAGAGCAAAUUUGAUUCCAAUUGUUUCAAAUAAUGAUGAAAAUCCUGCUUUGGAUACUGUUUCUGAUGUUUCCGGUAAUGAACUUGGAUUUGGAUUUGCCAAGCGUUUGACUGGAAAUUCUCCUCAGCAAAUUAAGUUGAAAAAUGAACCUGUUUCUUCAGCUGCAUUAUCUGAAAGUGAGGAAUCUGGGGCUCCUGAGAUUAAAUCUAAAGACAAGGGUAAGAGGUCUGAUGAUAUAGAUGAGAAAACUAGACAGAAUGUUCAAAAAGUUUCAACUCUGGGCCUUCCAUCAAGAAAGAAUAAGCUCGUCACUGGGGAAGACCUUGGGGAUGGAGUGCGGAGGCAAGGGAGAACUGGGCGGGGUUUUACAACAAGGGCUCAUGUGCCAGUAUCAGUUGAGAAGGUUGGCAAUAUCAGAACAGCGAAACAGCUUAGAAGUGCUAGACUUAGUUUUGAUAAAAAUGAAAGGUUAAAUACAGUUCUCUCUGAUUUCCCUCUAGCUUAUCAAAUAUCUUUCCCAUUUUGUAGUCUGGCAAUGUUGGGCCACUCUGAUUUAUAUCUAACAGUUACAUUAACUAUUUAAAGCAGCAAGACAGGUCGUCCACCAAGUAGAAAACUUUCUGACCGUAAAGCAUAUAAACGUCAAAAGCAUACAACAGUCAACGCAGCAGCGGAUUUUCUUGUUGGCUCAGAUGAUGGGCAUGAAGAGCUAUUGGCUGCUGCAAGUGCUGUGAUUAACCCUGCUCAUGCAUGUUCUAGCUCAUUUUGGAGGCAAAUGGAGCCAUUCUUUGGUUUUAUAUCUGACACAGACAUUGUUCACUUGAAGAAACAGGGAAGUAUUGAAUCUACUGCAGCAUCACCCAUUAGGGUUUCAUCUGAUGUAAAUAACUGCAAAACUGUCCUUAAUGGAUAUGGGUUGAUUGAACAUGUGGGAGAAGUGGGACUUUCUACUGAAUCAAGGGUUUGUGAACUGUUAGUGCCAGAAGCAAGAGACAUUCCUCUUUGUCAAAGACUCUUAGCAGCUAUAAUUCCGGAGGAAGAUUGUACCCAUGGAAAUAGGGACUUUGAAUUUGAUACAUAUGAAACUGGAUUUGAGCUGGACGGAGAGUUGGGAUCAAAUGGCUUGAGUCAUGCAGUUAACUUUAAUUUUUCUGGACAUACUGUAUUUAAUGGUUAUAAAGUGACUAGGAAGACAGAACAUGAUGAGGCAGAGGUAGAUCCAUUGGGCAUCCCAAACACAGGCUUAUAUUCAAACUUCAGUCACUCUGUAAAUGGCAUUCUUUCUGACCAGGCAUUGAUUCCGAGCAUGGCCUGUUCAGAAUUUCAGUAUGAUGAUAUGCAGAUGAAUGAAAAUCUCCUUCUGGAGGUUCAAAGUAUUGGAAUUUUUCCAGAAACAAUGCCUGAUUUGCAGAUGGAGGAUGAAGGAAUGAUUGGGGAGAUCAUGAGCUUAGAGGACAAGUACCAUGGCCAGGUUACAAAGAAGAAAGGUUUGCUAGAUAAACUGUUGAAAUCUGCCUCAGAAACAAAAGAACUUCAGGAAAAGGAAUUUGAGCAACGUGCUCAAGACAAACUUGUUACAAUGGCUUAUGAAAAGUAUAUGGCUUUUCGAGGUCCUAGUGCCACUGGUGGGAAAAGUUCCAAUAACAAAAUGGCUAAGCAAGCUGCCUUAGCUUUUGUCAAACGGACAUUAGAACAAUGUCAUAAAUUUGAAGAUACAGGUAAAAGCUGCUUCAGUGAACCCCUGUUUAGGGAUAUGAUUCUUUCUAGGUCUUCCCACCUCAGUGGUGGAAGAUCAUCAGGUACUCCUGUGGAUGAUGAAUCUGGGAAACUGUAUGCCAAUACCUCAAGUCAUUCUGUGGAAGCAAGAGUUUCAGCUUCUAUGGAUUCACAGCCAAGUCCUCGAACUUCUCGACUGAGUCAGAAUGGAGAUGGGUAUGUUGCUAAUUCAUCUGAUUUGCUUCCACAUGUAAAUUGCUUAUCUGAUCAAUCAGCUGGCAAAGAAGACACAUGGUCAAACAAGGUGAAGAAGAGGGAACUAUUGCUUGAUGAUGUUGGUGGUACCAUAGGUACUUCAAGUGCCCCCUCCGGAAUCGGAGGUUCUCUAUCAAGCAGUGCAAAAGGAAAGAGGAGUGAGAGAGACAGGGAGGGAAAAGGGCACAACAGAGAGGUUUUAUCUGGAAAUGGAACUAAUAAAAUUGGUCGGCCAGCAUUGUCUAAUGUCAAGGGGGAAAGGAAGUCUAAAACAAAGCCCAAGCAGAAAACUCAAUUAUCUGUUUCUGUAAAUGGCCUUCUUGGCAAGAUAUCAGGGCAUCCUAAACCAUCAUUACCUUCACAGGCUAAGUCUGGUGAUAUCACCACUAGUAGCAAUGGCAAGGAAAGAGAUGGUUUUGGCUUGGAUGUAUUGGAUGAUUCUGAGUCUAUUGAUUUGUCCAACCUGCAGCUUCCAGAAUUGGAUGAUGGCCAAGGGCAGGAUCUGGGUUCUUGGUUGAACAUUGAUGAUGAUGGAUUACAAGACCAUGGUGAUUUUAUGGGCCUUGAAAUUCCAAUGGAUGACCUUUCAGACUUAAACAUGAUGGUUUAAUAUCUUUCUCUGUAUAGUCUUGUUCAUUAUACUAUUGACAAAGAAACAUUAUCACUGUUGUCAAGAAAUGACCAGUUAUGUGGAUGGUCAGUUGGCCGCAGGUCCACAAUUAGGUUAUAUAGAUUCUUUGGUAGACUUCACAAGAUUUUCGAGAGAGCCUUCAGAUGUUUGAAUUUUGUUCCUUUGUUGGUAACUUCGACUGUAAAGACUUCUGUUCAAGGUACAAUUUAGCAUGUCACAAGUUAGUAUGUCGUAGCAUUUACAACCCAGCAAACACUGUAUCCUGGCUGUAGCUUUUACAAUUCAGAGAACAAUGCCUCUUGUACAUACAUUUUAUAUUUCUAAUAAAGUCUGCUUUUAAUUCAAA